Molecule: long non-coding RNA, 349 nt
Organism: Malaya genurostris
Lineage: Eukaryota; Metazoa; Arthropoda; Insecta; Diptera; Culicidae
Exons: 2
Source: RefSeq, a predicted model, not a curated record
UGGCACGAUUCGAUAGGCUGAAGCCCCGUAAAAUGGAAAUAAUUUAUUUCGGAACUUCAGCCAACUAUAUAAAUCGUGCGAAUUAUCAAACGUUACAGGUAAAAAGAUGAAACUAACAAUUUUUCUCAUUUUUGCAAUGUUUGCAGUGGGUCUAGUUUUCGCCGAUGAACCCACGGAAAAACCAUGUACAUAUUGGGGUGGAAAGGCAUAUAGGUGCGAGAAACAACAACAUUCAGAGUGGCGAACAGCUCGAAGCUCGAAUCCGGAUAAUUCAAAUACAGAAACUCUGUAAUAAAAAAUUAAAAUAUUGCGAAAUAAUUACUGAAACAUUCAAUAAACAAAUAUCAAA